Equus quagga is the source of this 1249-nucleotide long non-coding RNA. RefSeq lists it as uncharacterized. The transcript has 4 exons. NCBI's taxonomy places the organism in Eukaryota, Metazoa, Chordata, Mammalia, Perissodactyla, Equidae. The record is from RefSeq and is a predicted model, not a curated record.
UCUGCAAACAGUAGGAAGGAUGAAGAUCACUGAUGGGCCACUGCCAGUGGAGGAGCAGCGGGAGCCCUGAGGGCAGACACCAGCAUGACUUCCGAGUGGAGGGCACAGGCUCUCACAGCAACUGGUGAAGUGAGAUUCUCCCAUCCUCUGGAUGGGGAGAGCCCUGAGAGGGACCUGGACCACCUGAAGUCGGAGGCGCAGCCCGGCGCAUGAGCUAGAGCCCAGUCUUCAGGCCUUUCCUGCUGAGGUCCCCAACUUCAGGACCCAGCCUUGAGAGGCAAGACGGCAGGAGAAAAGGCCUUCUGGGAGUCGGGCAGUCGGAUGGCCUUCGGGCCCUCCUAACCCAGGUGCUCGUCCCUUCACAGGAAGCAGCAUGAAGCAGGGGAAGAACAUGGGUUUUGGAGCCACGUGGUCCUGCAACUGAAUUCUGGCUCUGCCACUUAACUAACUGUGUGACUUUAGGCAAGCUUCUUAACUGCUCUGAGCCUCAGUUUUCUCAUCUGAAAAAUAAGACCAGUGCCAUCCUUCUCCUAGGGUCGUUGGGAUGCUAUACAUAAACACAAGGCAUUUCCAUGAACCUAGUAGCACAGUGUACCGGACCACUGCCAGAGGCUCAGGCCCGGCAGAAAUAAUCGCUCUCCAGGUUGAUGUAUAAGUGGUCACUCUUGAUAUUUGUAAACUGUUGGCUCUGUAGCACACAGGCUUUAAGACUCAGAGCCUCGGGGGGGAUGGACUCUCUCACUGAAAAGACAGGGAGGCAGGCGAGAGAGAAGUGACUGGCUCAGGGUCACAGACGGAGCCACGGCAGAGCUGGAGCUCAAACGUGGGUGUGCGACACGUAGUCCAGGCCCCUCGCCCUGCAGCCCUGCUGAAUCAGAUGAUUAUCUGAAGCAGGGAGGACACUGGAGGCCACCUGGGCGGACUCCCUCAGCACUCAGAGGAACUGAGGCCACAGCGGUUUGCUGACCAGGUGGUGAGGACACUGGGAAGGCAGGAAGUCUCUCCCACCAAUGCACAGACGAAGAGCUGAGCCCAAGGGUGAGGAAGCCAUGCUGAAAGCCACCCACAAACCUGUAGCGGGGCCACGCCUAGAACCCCCUGAGGAGGAGGAUGAACUUUCCAGAUCAGGCCCUGCUUGGCUUCAGUCUCUGUCCCCUGAGAACACGCAAAGUCGGCGCUGCCUGUCCCUAGACCCAACUCUGACCACAGGCCGGGGGGGUUUAAGUGCUUCAGAUUAAAUUCCAUUUGC